AGGACGAACGCUGGCGGCGUGCCUAACACAUGCAAGUCGAGCGGAGUUGACAAGAGGAAGUUUCGGAUGGAAUUUGUAAUUAGCGGCGGACGGGUGAGUAACGCGUGAGCGACCAACCUUGCACAGGGGGAUAACGGACCGAAAGGUUCACUAAUACCGCAUGAGACCACGGUGUUGCAUGACACAGGGGUCAAAGGAGUAAUCCGGUGCAAGACGGGCUCGCGUCCGAUUAGGUAGUUGGAGGGGUAACGGCCCACCAAGCCUAUGAUCGGUAGCCGACCUGAGAGGGUGAUCGGCCACAUUGGAACUGAGAUACGGUCCAAACUCCUACGGGAGGCAGCAGUGGGGAAUAUUGGGCAAUGGGGGAAACCCUGACCCAGCAACGCCGCGUGAAGGAAGAAGGUUUUCGGAUUGUAAACUUCUGUCCUUGGUGAAGAGAAGAAGACGGUAGCCAAGGAGGAAGCCCCGGCUAACUACGUGCCAGCCGCCGC
Molecule: ribosomal RNA, 491 nt
Filed under: uncultured bacterium
Lineage: Bacteria
Description: bacterial SSU rRNA
Rfam family: Bacterial small subunit ribosomal RNA
Source: RNAcentral